Peromyscus maniculatus bairdii (prairie deer mouse) is the source of this 2224-nucleotide non-coding RNA. The record is from RefSeq and is a predicted model, not a curated record. NCBI's taxonomy places the organism in Eukaryota, Metazoa, Chordata, Mammalia, Rodentia, Cricetidae.
UCGAAAAACAAAACAAAACAAAACAAAACAAAACAAAACAAAACAAAACAAAACAAAACAAAACAAAACAAAACAAACAAACAAAACAAAACAAAACAAAAAAAAAUCUCUCUUUGACUUUGUUCUCAUGGCCACAAGAGAAAUACUUGCAAACAACAAACCUAAGAUUUCUCCUCUAUCUACCCAUGGUGAGAAUAAAAAAUGGGUUGAGAAUUGUAUCUCAUCCAGAAUCAGAAGUUACUAUCAGGAGUUCUCCUAUUGGAUGCUGUUUGCAGAUAAUGCUCUGACAUCCUGGGCUCAGGAUCAGUCUAACCAGAGCCCCAAAGGUCAAACUUGGAUGUCUUGAAGGGCCAAGAUGGAAACACACACGUUGGAAGAGGCUGGUAUAAGAAAAGAAAGAAGGACUGGAACCAAUACAUUUAAGAAUGUAUGUUUCCAUACUUCAAAAAAGUGCCCAAAUUAUAUCUUGAAAAGUAAAAACCACCACGGCGUGGGUCAGAACUUAGCUGCAGGUCACCAUUGUGACAUCUCGUGGACAGGACCCAAGAUCCCUGUUUGACCUAUCUUUGUAUCCUACCUUCCUUGGAUGGUUUGACAGUCUACACAUCUGCAGGAUUCUGGUGGCCUUUUCCACACUGAAACUUUACCUCCCUCCUGCUGGAACCACAGAAUCAGUGCUUCACCAUUCCUGCCUUGCUGGGUUCCGAGUCAUUAUCUCCUUCCAGGAGAUGGCCACAUGACUAGCUGUAAUUUGACAUGGUGGGUGCUAGGUCUAAAUUAUAGGAGGGAAUACUACCAGAGGAAUGUGUGCAAAACUUAAAAAGGCUUAAUGAGUAAAACCAAACUAGUAUUUUAUUUAUGACAUAAAAUAUGUAUUUCUUAUUUCUAAUCUGGUUCUUAUUUGAGGCCACACAAAUCCACCAAACCCAAUGAGAAGAAGGUGAUCACUAAAAUCUAUACUAACUGUCAUAUUCUUUUCUUCUUUGCUUUCUUAGAUAAGUCAACAAGUCAAUAAAUAGGAGGUGAAGUAGCCAUUGAUUUUAUAAGUCCCCUGUAUUACUUUUCUGUCCUGUCACUUUUUAGGAGGCCAUCAAUAACCCCAGGAACUGUUAUUGCUAAUCUUUGGUGUGGGAUCCUUAAUACAAUUACAUCUAUGAUAAUAACUCCACUUAUAUUUAAUCUUUUAAACCCUUCCACUAGGAUGGCAAUAUAUAAGAUGGGAAGUUAGUCAUGUCUGGUACUGAUAACAGAUUAGAGAGAAAGCACUGGACCAAACACACGAGGACAACCUGGUACAGGAAGGAACUAGACCACACAUGCUGUAAACAUGGGAGGAAAGGAAUGAUCAUCUCCUCUAUAGCGGACUGUGCCCAGGGAACAGCACUCACCUCAAUUGCAUUGGUAUACUGCUCCAGCCUGCUGUCAAUCUUGGAGACUACUGCUGCUUGAUGAGUAGAUUUGACACCACUGCCAAAUAAGCACAGACAUGAAAAUAAGAGACAAAAGACAUCUCUCCAUGUGUGUGACAGCUGAUGAGUCUCAACGGAACAGUCAAUUGUAUUUACCUUUUCUGCACAGACUUAUUCAAAAAUUCUGCUCGUUCCUCUAUCUAGAAAUAGAAAAGAAGAAGCCUUGUGAAUAUGCAGAGGGAACAGUAUGUGCCAAAGUCCUAACAGUGGGAAGCUCUGAAGCCUUAUAGAAUGAGACAUGGCUAAAUGGAGACUACACCGAUGUGCCUUUGAAAAAGCUUCAGAACACUCCUGGAAGGCAAGGCGUGCCCAGAAUGGCCCAAGUUUCUCCUUUGGUCCUGCUCUGUGGCCUGUAGCUUAUUCACAGUGCCCUUCAACUACACCACUAUCAUUCCUGAACCUAGUAAAUCAAAACACCACAGAGCAUGUGAGGGCAUUACAUUGACGGCGGGCACAGCACCCAGAAGGGGAGAAAACUAGGAAUAAUGUAUUUGACACUGGGGAAGAAAGAAUAGGAUUGGAAGAGGAUAAAGAAUGCAGAGACAGGGGUUGGGGGGAGACAUUAAGUUUUGGAAGCAAGAAACAGCUAGUAAGAUGGUCUUACAUAAUAUAGACCAAUGACAAACUUCAUAUACUUAAAUCCAAAUCUCCUGUGAUGGCAUUUGGAAUGGGUCCUUUGCAAGGUAAUUGUGUCAGGAGGGUAGAGUCCUCAUGAAUGGCUUUAGCAUACUGAUUAAAAAGACAAGAGAGCUUGC